ACUCAGCAGGUAGAGUAGAGGACUGGAAAUCCUCGUGUCACCAGUUCAAAUCUGGU
Molecule: small RNA, 56 nt
Filed under: Salix viminalis (osier)
Lineage: Eukaryota; Viridiplantae; Streptophyta; Magnoliopsida; Malpighiales; Salicaceae
Also listed under: 3 other names
Description: tRNA
Rfam family: tRNA
About the family: Transfer RNA (tRNA) molecules are approximately 80 nucleotides in length. Their secondary structure includes four short double-helical elements and three loops (D, anti-codon, and T loops). Further hydrogen bonds mediate the characteristic L-shaped molecular structure. tRNAs have two regions of fundamental functional importance: the anti-codon, which is responsible for specific mRNA codon recognition, and the 3' end, to which the tRNAs corresponding amino acid is attached (by aminoacyl-tRNA synthetases). tRNAs cope with the degeneracy of the genetic code in two manners: having more than one tRNA (with a specific anti-codon) for a particular amino acid; and 'wobble' base-pairing, i.e. permitting non-standard base-pairing at the 3rd anti-codon position.
Source: Rfam by way of RNAcentral